RNAcentral lists this ribosomal RNA (374 nucleotides) under uncultured organism. Its description in RNAcentral is "partial 16S ribosomal RNA". It matches the Rfam family "Bacterial small subunit ribosomal RNA", at positions 527 to 896 of the family's 1533-position model. The record is from RNAcentral.
GUAGGUGGCAAGCGUUGUCCGGAAUUAUUGGGCGUAAAGCGCGCGCAGGCGGUUCUUUAAGUCUGAUGUGAAAGCCCACGGCUCAACCGUGGAGGGUCAUUGGAAACUGGAGAACUUGAGUACAGAAGAGGAAAGCGGAAUUCCACGUGUAGCGGUGAAAUGCGUAGAGAUGUGGAGGAACACCAGUGGCGAAGGCGGCUUUCUGGUCUGUAACUGACGCUGAGGCGCGAAAGCGUGGGGAGCAAACAGGAUUAGAUACCCUGGUAGUCCACGCCGUAAACGAUGAGUGCUAAGUGUUAGGGGGUUUUCCGCCCCCCUUAGUGCUGCAGCUAACGCAUUAAGCACUCCGGCCUGGGAGUACGGCCGCAAGGCUG